RNAcentral lists this ribosomal RNA (496 nucleotides) under uncultured bacterium. Its description in RNAcentral is "partial 16S ribosomal RNA". It matches the Rfam family "Bacterial small subunit ribosomal RNA", at positions 28 to 507 of the family's 1533-position model. The record is from RNAcentral.
GAUGAACGCUGGCGGCGUGCCUAAUACAUGCAAGUCGAGCGAACAGACGCGGAGCUUGCUCCUCUGACGUUAGCGGCGGACGGGUGAGUAACACGUGGAUAACCUCCCUAUAAGACUGGGAUAACUUCGGGAAACCGGUGCUAAUACCGGAUAAUAUAUUGAACCGCAUGGUUAAAUAAUGAAAGACGGUUUUGCUGUAAUUUAUAGAUGGUUCCGCGCCGCAUUAGCUAGUUGGUAAGGGAACGGCUUACCAAGGCGACGAUGCGUAGCCGACCUGUCAGGGUGAGCGGCCACCCAGGAACGUAGACAGGUGCCAGCCACAUACGGGCGGGAGGAGGAGGUAAGGUACCGAAGUGAGCGAAAGCCAGACGGAGCAAGGCAGGGUGCGUGAUGAAGGUCUUCGGAUUGGAAUACUCUGUGAUUAGGUAAGAAAAAAAGUAGAAGUAACUAUGCACUUAUGAAGGGAACCUAAGCAGAAAGCCCCGGUAACCUACUG